ACACAACCACCUUAACUCAUGGACUAUAUUCCUUAGUAGUUCAAACUUCCCAAGUAACAACUGAAACCAAAUACACAAUCACAGGAUACUGCAACAAUGCCAAUACAGCAGAUCCAUUUAGCAUGAAAGGAAAACAAGUGGUUCAUUACAUAGCUUUGAAUGUUUACAAAGUCUUGAAAUGAAAACAUAACCUCAUUACAUAGCUUUGAAUGCUUAAAAAUUCAUGAAAACAAUAUCGCAUACAAUUGCAAUUUCUUAUUUGCCUUUAGGCUGAUAGAUUCUAAUUCCAAGAUUAAGGCGUCCCUUUUCAAAUUCUUUAACUUCUCUUUUAACUUUUUUGUUUUGUUUCUCAGGAAAUUGACUUCAUCCUCAUUCCUUAAAACAUAACCCAUUUCACUGCAACCAUUAUCAUGAACUUCAUUUUGAGUACUUAUGUCCAACCAUUGAAAAAAUCCACAAUAUUUAUUAACGUCCUGUAAAAGAAAACAACACCCAAAUCAAAUUGAAUCCAAAAUAUAUUACAAUAAUGUACCAAUUUAUACAUAAAAUUUACUUACUGGGUAAAAAUGACAUCCAUAGAACCUUCUUUCCUUUGAUUUGUUCUUUGUGGAGACACAAAUGGAUGCUGAUAGACCCGCAAAAACAUUUUACCCUCUUUCGAGCAACCGACGAGGAUAUGUUAUCUGAAGAAGCCAUUAAGAACAUUUUAGGUGUUCAAAUGGUUUGAGAAGAUGAAAACCCCUGAUUUUCCCUUUGAUUUUGGCCAAAUCAAUCUCCUUAUCAAAUCAAAUAUAAGUUUUGAUGAUAUCUGAAUUUGUGAUUCCUUAUUCGAGAUGGAUCAUGGUGAUAAAUGCUUGAAUCACUAGCUGGUAUACAUUAUCACCUGUUCUACUAAAGUCUUCGUGUUGUGACAUACUCGAAGAUUGUGUCAAGCAUUAGUUUGGAACAUAACAGUGAAUAUGAUAGUAAAUUGCCCACUCAAAAGAUAACAGAAUGAGAAGGGAACAAGUGAUACAAGCUUAUGUAGAACUGCAGUUAUUAACGGUUUAGAGAUCUUCUCUUCCAAAGUAUUGAAAUAAACAAAGGUUCCCAUCCCUGUUUUUGAAAACUUCCCAAAUCGUCUUUUUAAAAAUCGGCACAAAGAAUAAUCAGUUGCAAAAAAAACCUAGAUUUUAGUCCCAAUCUUGCUAAACUGAAGAGGGAAGAGUUUUUAAAACCAAAAUCAUACAUACCUUGUACCAAUGAAGAUCUAAGCCAGAAAUUUGCAGAUCGACGAAUCAGUGAGCCGUGAGCGAGGUUGGGAAGAAUUUCAAACACAAAAUCAUGGCUUUGUCGCUAUCUGAAGAGAUUUGCAGAAGAAGAUCGAUUCUUGUUUGUCGCUCUCUCUUUCUCUCUCUGAACUUCGACUUCUGAUAUCUUGGCGUUGUUUGAUG
RNAcentral lists this long non-coding RNA (1433 nucleotides) under Panax ginseng (ginseng). RNAcentral describes it as "long non-coding RNA (PGIN_LNC016285)". Lineage: Eukaryota; Viridiplantae; Streptophyta; Magnoliopsida; Apiales; Araliaceae. The record is from RNAcentral.